UGAUUGACGAUGGAUCACCAGUGAGUGGCGGACGGGUGAGUAACACGUAGGUAACCUGCCCCGGAGCGGGGGAUAACAUUUGGAAACAGAUGCUAAUACCGCAUAACAACAAAAGCCACAUGGCUUUUGUUUGAAAGAUGGCUUUGGCUAUCACUCUGGGAUGGACCUGCGGUGCAUUAGCUAGUUGGUAAGGUAACGGCUUACCAAGGCGAUGAUGCAUAGCCGAGUUGAGAGACUGAUCGGCCACAAUGGAACUGAGACACGGUCCAUACUCCUACGGGAGGCAGCAGUAGGGAAUCUUCCACAAUGGGCGCAAGCCUGAUGGAGCAACACCGCGUGAGUGAAGAAGGGUUUCGGCUCGUAAAGCUCUGUUGUUGGAGAAGAACGUGCGUGAGAGUAACUGUUCACGCAGUGACGGUAUCCAACCAGAAAGUCACGGCUAACUACGUGCCAGCAGCCGCGGUAAUACGUAGGUGGCAAGCGUUAUCCGGAUUUAUUGGGCGUAAAGCGAGCGCAGGCGGUCGCUUAGGUCUGAUGUGAAAGCCUUCGGCUUAACCGAAGAAGUGCAUCGGAAACCGGGCGACUUGAGUGCAGAAGAGGACAGUGGAACUCCAUGUGUAGCGGUGGAAUGCGUAGAUAUAUGGAAGAACACCAGUGGCGAAGGCGGCUGUCUGGUCUGCAACUGACGCUGAGGCUCGAAAGCAUGGGUAGCGAACAGGAUUAGAUACCCUGGUAGUCCAUGCCGUAAACGAUGAGUGCUAGGUGUUGGAGGGGUUUCCGCCCUUCAGUGCCGGAGCUAACGCAUUAAGCACUCCGCCUGGGGAGUACGACCGC
This 834-nucleotide ribosomal RNA is filed under the name uncultured bacterium. RNAcentral's name for it is "bacterial SSU rRNA". It matches the Rfam family "Bacterial small subunit ribosomal RNA", at positions 71 to 889 of the family's 1533-position model. The record is from RNAcentral.